AGAGUUUGAUCAUGGCUCAGGAUGAACGCUAGCGGCAGGCCUAAUACAUGCAAGUCGAACGGGGCAGUUCAGCAAUGAACUGUUCAGUGGCGCACGGGUGCGUAACGCGUAUGCAACCUACCUUAAACUGGGGGAUAGCCCGGGGAAACCCGGAUUAAUACCGCAUAAGAUCACGAGAGGGCAUCUGAUUGUGAUUAAAGAUUUAUUGGUUUAAGAUGGGCAUGCGUGCCAUUAGCUAGUUGGUAGGGUAACGGCCUACCAAGGCUACGAUGGCUAGGGGUUCUGAGAGGAUGAUCCCUCACACUGGUACUGAGAUACGGACCAGACUCCUACGGGAGGCAGCAGUAGGGAAUAUUGGGCAAUGGACGGAAGUCUGACCCAGCCAUGCCGCGUGCAGGAUGAAGGCCUUCUGGGUUGUAAACUGCUUUUAUAUAGGAAGAAAACACCCAUGCGUGGGAAACUGACGGUACUAUAUGAAUAAGCACCGGCUAACUCCGUGCCAGCAGCCGCGGUAAUACGGAGGGUGCAAGCGUUGUCCGGAUUUAUUGGGUUUAAAGGGUGCGUAGGCGGCCUUGUAAGUCAGUGGUGAAAGCCUCCAGCUCAACUGGAGAACUGCCAUUGAUACUGCAAGGCUUGAGUACAGACGAGGUUGGCGGAAUUGAUUGUGUAGCGGUGAAAUGCAUAGAUACAAUCAAGAACUCCGAUUGCGUAGGCAGCUAACUAGGCUGUAACUGACGCUGAGGCACGAAAGCGUGGGGAGCGAACAGGAUUAGAUACCCUAGUAGUCC
This 788-nucleotide ribosomal RNA is filed under the name uncultured bacterium. Its description in RNAcentral is "bacterial SSU rRNA". It matches the Rfam family "Bacterial small subunit ribosomal RNA", at positions 8 to 796 of the family's 1533-position model. The record is from RNAcentral.